GACGAACGCUGGCGGCGUGCUUAACACAUGCAAGUCGAACGGUGAAGCGCCUUCCUUUUUGGUGGGUGUGGAUGAGUGGCGAACGGGUGAGUAACACGUGAGUAACCUGCCCCCUUCUUCUGGAUAACCGCAUGAAAGUGUGGCUAAUACGGGAUAUUCUGGGUCUGUCGCAUGAUGGGUCUGGGAAAGAUAUUGUUUCGGUGGGGGCUGGGCUCGCGGCCUAUCAGCUUGUUGGUGGGGUGAUGGCCUACCAAGGCGGUGACGGGUAGCCGGCCUGAGAGGGUGGACGGUCACACUGGGACUGAGACACGGCCCAGACUCCUACGGGAGGCAGCAGUGGGGAAUAUUGCACAAUGGGCGCAAGCCUGAUGCAGCGACGCCGCGUGAGGGAUGGAGGCCUUCGGGUUGUGAACCUCUUUCGCCAGUGAAGCAGGCCUGCCUAGUUUGUGGGUGGGUUGACGGUAGCUGGAUAAGAAGCGCCGGCUAACUACGUG
RNAcentral lists this ribosomal RNA (494 nucleotides) under uncultured bacterium. RNAcentral's name for it is "partial 16S ribosomal RNA". It matches the Rfam family "Bacterial small subunit ribosomal RNA", at positions 28 to 507 of the family's 1533-position model. The record is from RNAcentral.